CCGCCCUUAGCUCAGUUGGAUAGAGCAACGGCCUUCUAAGCCGUAGGUCACUGGUUCGAAUCCAGUAGGGCGGGCCA
RNAcentral lists this transfer RNA (77 nucleotides) under Burkholderia sp. Its description in RNAcentral is "tRNA-Arg". It matches the Rfam family "tRNA". Rfam says of the family: Transfer RNA (tRNA) molecules are approximately 80 nucleotides in length. Their secondary structure includes four short double-helical elements and three loops (D, anti-codon, and T loops). RNAcentral also lists the same sequence under 9 other names. Lineage: Bacteria; Pseudomonadati; Pseudomonadota; Betaproteobacteria; Burkholderiales; Burkholderiaceae. The record is from RNAcentral.